CAAUAGCGUAUAUUAAAGUUGUUGCGGUUAAAAAGCUCGUAGUUGGAGUUCUGCCAGGUGCCGCCUGUCCGCCCCAGUGGUGAGUACGUGGCGCGCAUUUGGCCCUUUCAAGGGGAGCGUAUCUGCACUUUAUUGUGUGGUGCGGGAUCCUUGACUUUUACUUUGAGGAAAUAGGAGUGUUCCAAGCAGGCUCUCGUCGUGCACAGCUCAGCAUGGAAUAAUAGCAUUGGACCUCGAUUCUAAGCUGUUGGUUGCCAGAAGCGAGGUAAUGAUGAAGAGGGAUAGUUGGGGGCAUUCGUAUUUAACUGUCAGAGGUGAAAUUCUUGGAUUUGUUAAAGACGGACUGCUGCGAAAGCGUCUGCCAAGGAUGUUUUCAUUGA
This 380-nucleotide ribosomal RNA is filed under the name uncultured eukaryote. RNAcentral's name for it is "partial 18S ribosomal RNA". It matches the Rfam family "Eukaryotic small subunit ribosomal RNA", at positions 592 to 976 of the family's 1831-position model. The record is from RNAcentral.